This 253-nucleotide ribosomal RNA is filed under the name uncultured bacterium. Its description in RNAcentral is "partial 16S ribosomal RNA". It matches the Rfam family "Bacterial small subunit ribosomal RNA", at positions 524 to 776 of the family's 1533-position model. The record is from RNAcentral.
UACGUAGGGGGCUAGCGUUGUCCGGAAUCAUUGGGCGUAAAGCGCGUGUAGGCGGCCCGGUAAGUCCGCUGUGAAAGUCGGGGGCUCAACCCUCGGAUGCCGGUGGAUACUGUCGGGCUUGAGUACGGAAGAGGCGAGUGGAAUUCCUGGUGUAGCGGUGAAAUGCGCAGAUAUCAGGAGGAACACCAAUUGCGAAGGCAGCUCGCUGGGACGUGACUGACGCUGAGACGCGAAAGCGUGGGGAGCAAACAGG